RNAcentral lists this ribosomal RNA (785 nucleotides) under Histiostoma ovalis. RNAcentral describes it as "eukaryotic LSU rRNA". It matches the Rfam family "Eukaryotic large subunit ribosomal RNA", at positions 88 to 651 of the family's 3401-position model. The record is from RNAcentral. Lineage: Eukaryota; Metazoa; Arthropoda; Arachnida; Sarcoptiformes; Histiostomatidae.
GGCGAGCGAACAGGGAUCAGCGCAGCGCCNAGUCCCAACACUCGACGUGUUUGGGAGAUGCGGCGUUAAUGCGUUUGUGUAUCGUUCACUGACAUGUGUUUCAAGUUCCCUUGACAGGGACUCCCAGAGUGGGUGCUAGGCCCAUGGAGACACGAGUCUGGUGGACGCAGACAGGCGUAUUCUAGAGUCAGGUUGCUUGAGAGUGCAGCCUAAAGCAGGUGGUAAACUCCAUCUAAGGCUAAAUAUUACAGCGAGACCGAUAGCAAACAAGUACUGUGAAGGAAAGUUGCAAAGAACUUUGAAGAGAGAGUUCAACAGGACGUGAAACCACUAACAGGCAAACGGAUGGAACCACGAAGUAUGCCUGACACACAAUUCAGCCAUAAUCGACGGCAGUCUGAGCGUUCCGCGGGCCUGUUCUGGGUUGCGUGCGUUCAGUCUUGUGUCGGCGAUUGCGGUGCAUUUUGUAGUGUCAGUGCCAAAGCCACGUCCGAUCGGAUGACUGGAACGGUUGUAGUAUUGGCUGGCAAGAAGGUGGCCUGGCGCUUUCGGGCGUCCGGUGUUAUAGCUUGCUGGCUGGACCGUUGCCGAGUGUACCGAUCGGUGCAAUUUCUCUUCAGUGAGUUAUGUUGGUUGCUUGCCUGAGCGCGUCUCUCGUCGUCGGACGGUCGUUCUUUUGCGUCUUCGUGGCGUACAAAGGCGGCUGCUCGUGCGGUGUCUGUGCGUGUUCUGUGCAAUGGUAGCUCCCAACAGUGGCCCGAGUAGGUCGGUCUCCAUCCGACCCG